This 518-nucleotide ribosomal RNA is filed under the name uncultured Glomus. RNAcentral describes it as "SSU rRNA". It matches the Rfam family "Eukaryotic small subunit ribosomal RNA", at positions 569 to 1088 of the family's 1831-position model. The record is from RNAcentral. Lineage: Eukaryota; Fungi; Glomeromycota; Glomeromycetes; Glomerales; Glomeraceae.
AGCAGCCGCGGUAAUUCCAGCUCCAAUAGCGUAUAUUAAAGUUGCUGCAGUUAAAAAGCUCGUAGUUGAAUUUCGGGACCAUCAUGUCGGUCGUGCCUCGGUACGUACUGGCAUUGUUGGUUUCUCCCUUCUGAAGAACCUUGAUGUCAUUAAUUUGGUGUCUUGGGGAAUCAGGACUGUUACUUUGAAAAAAAUUAGAGUGUUUAAAGCAGGCUCGCGCUUGAAUACAUUAGCAUGGAAUAAUGAAAUAGGACGUUUGAUUCUAUUUUGUUGGUUUCUAGGAUCGACGUAAUGAUUAAUAGGGAUAGUUGGGGGCAUUAGUAUUCAAUUGUCAGAGGUGAAAUUCUUGGAUUUAUUGAAGACUAACUACUGCGAAAGCAUUUGCCAAGGAUGUUUUCAUUAAUCAAGAACGAAAGUUAGGGGAUCGAAGACGAUCAGAUACCGUCGUAGUCUUAACCAUAAACUAUGCCGACUAGGGAUCGGAUGAUGUUAAUUUUUUAAUGACUCAUUCGGCGCCG